UGUGGUGAUCUCACGCUCGUUCUUUACCCACUCCUUCUUCCCCCUCUGGACAACCCUCUUUUCUCCUCCGUCCAACAACUCGGCGAUCUCACCUAGCUCUUCCACUCCUCAUCGCUGUCACUCGGUUGGUUCCAAUAGCUCUUGUUGUUGUUCAUGGAGGCCGGAACUGAGGUACCAACCUCAGCCAGAGAAAUCCGAGGCUCGGACAAAUCUUCAAAGACAGCAAAGGAUUUGGAGAUUGAAGGAUACCCUGUUGGGGGUUUGUCCAUUGGAGGCCAUGAAACAUGUGUACUAUUCCCCACACUUAAAAUAGCCUUUGACAUUGGUCGCUGCCCACCUCGUGCUGUUUCCCAAAACUUCCUUUUGAUCUCCCAUGCUCACAUGGAUCACAUUGGAGGGCUACCCAUGUAUGUUGCCACACGUGGCUUGUAUCGAAUGAAGCCCCCAACAAUUAUUGUACCAAUUUCAGUAAAAGAGGAUGUAGAGAAGCUUUUUGAGAUUCACAGGAAAAUGGAUCAAUCAGAACUUAAGCACAACCUGAUUGGCUUGGAUGUAGGAGAAGAGUUUUAUUUGAGAAAGGAUCUUAAAGUAAAAGCUUUCCGGACUUACCAUGUAAUACCUAGCCAGGGUUAUAUAAUAUAUUCUGUGAAACAGAAACUUAAGCCAGAGUAUAUUGGCCUUUCUGGAAAUGAAAUUAAGAAUUUGAAGUCGUCCGGUGAGGAGAUAACAUACACUUUGACAGAACCAGAAAUUGCCUUCACGGGAGAUACCAUGUCAGAUUUCAUCAUUGAUGAAAAUAACACAGACGUCUUAAGGGCUAAAAUUCUUGUAUUGGAGUGCACCUUUGUUAACGAUUCAAUCACCGUGGAACAUGCCAGAGAUUAUGGACACACGCAUCUGUCUGAGAUAAUAAGUCAUGCAGAGAGGUUACAGAACAGAGCAAUCCUUUUAAUUCACUUCUCAGCACGUUACACCGUAGAGGUUGGUAUAGCUUCCCGUGUUUCAGUAUAGGAAGUUCCGUCCUGUUUGAUGUGAAAUAGGUGCCACCUUCCAUGUUUCAAGUUAAUAAAAAAAAACGAAAUUCAACAAGCUGUAAGUACAUUGCCUCAUAGUUUAGCCGGUCGAACUUAUGCGCUUACGGAAGGUUUUUGACAAGUUGGGAGAGUUUAAUUGAUACAUACCUGACCCUGGAGGUUUUGCCUACAAACCACCUGAGACUAUUGGACGGGGCUAGAAUUUACAAUCAUCAUAGAUGAUGAAGACAAGGAGAAGUGGACUGCAGAGCAAAAUCCAAUGAUGCAUGGUAUGUUUGGAUUGCCGUUUGAAUCACCAAAAACAUGCAGUUGCACAUUCUUAUAGUGAAAUUUGCAGAAGCAAUAGCAGUUUUUGGUUGAAUAAUAUAAUACCAUGUUUACGUUGGAAUGAACUGUUUUCCAAACAUAGGUUAAACAUCAGUUACCUAUAUUUUUAUCAGGCUGUUUGUAGUAAUUUUUAUUUGCUACCUUUUGAUUCGUUUUAUUCAGUUAAAGGUAAAAGAAAAAAAAAAUUGGAUUUGGUUUGAA
Vigna unguiculata (cowpea) is the source of this 1562-nucleotide unclassified non-coding RNA. NCBI's taxonomy places the organism in Eukaryota, Viridiplantae, Streptophyta, Magnoliopsida, Fabales, Fabaceae. The record is from RefSeq and is a predicted model, not a curated record.